GUGCUGGCAUAUAUGUGAGAAGUCUUUCAUUGAACACAUGCACCUGGUGUUGCUAUGGAACUAUCUGAUGGACAGCUGGAGAGAGGCAUCAUCUGCCAGGAUUCUAGAGUCAUCACAGCAGUGCCGUGACCUCUUCCUGGCUAAGCUGCUUCAAGGUAGAAACAAGCUCAUCUUCCUCGUGGCCCAGAGGCUCGGGCUUUGCCUUCUGCAGAAGUGCUGGGUAACCGGAACACACAUGGGAGCAACUUACUCAGACUGUGUAGUCACUGUCCUUGAAGGUCAUGCAGACAUGCAUCACUGACUGCAGGAUGCUGUAUCCAGAAUCCAGACUACUAUCCUACAAGGACAGGGAAGUCACACCAGUAAGCAAAGGAAGAAAGGGCCUUAAGGAAUCUUUCUCAGCUCUACCUUGCUGAUGGAGCUUUUUUUAUACUUCCAGAUGUCUAAGGUAUGGGUUACUUGUCAGAAGCCAACACGAGGGGACUGGAUUUAUUAUUCUUCUUUCUCUCUUUUUAUAAGGCCGAGCAGUGGUCCCCCACCCCUUUUUUCAUUUUAAAGAUUUAUUUAU
Molecule: long non-coding RNA, 568 nt
Organism: Mastomys coucha (southern multimammate mouse)
Lineage: Eukaryota; Metazoa; Chordata; Mammalia; Rodentia; Muridae
Exons: 3
Source: RefSeq, a predicted model, not a curated record